AUACGUAGGUGGCGAGCGUUGUCCGGAAUUAUUGGGCGUAAAGCGCGCGCAGGCGGGAAAGUAAGUCUACUCUAAAAGUGCGGGGCUCAACCCCGUGAUGGGGUGGAAACUGCUUUUCUUGAGUGCCGGAGAGGAAAGCGGAAUUCCCAGUGUAGCGGUGAAAUGCGUAGAUAUUGCACAGAACUCCGAUUGCGAAGGCAGCUUGCUAAACUGACACUGACACUGAGGUACGAAAGCGUGGGGAGC
RNAcentral lists this ribosomal RNA (246 nucleotides) under uncultured bacterium. RNAcentral's name for it is "partial 16S ribosomal RNA". It matches the Rfam family "Bacterial small subunit ribosomal RNA", at positions 523 to 769 of the family's 1533-position model. The record is from RNAcentral.